AUGAGUUUUUUUCAUAUUUGUCUUUUUAUAGUUUACUUUGAUUAUUUUUUAAAUCUUUAUAUUAUCUAUAUAUCCUCUAUUAAUCCCCGUGUUAGACAUCCACGUGUCAUCCCAUUCUUAAUUUUGUACACGUGGCCCGUCAUGGGUCCCACCUGCUACCAAGCCGGUUCGAUCCCGCUACCCCGCCUCUUCGAUCCCUGCUACUCCCGCCUCUUCAAUGGCGCCUCCGUUUCGAUCCCGGUUGCUCCUCUAUCUCUCCUCUCCUCUCCUCUCCUCUCCUCUCCGACCCUUUCCUUCGUUCCCCUUCGUCCCCUCGACCUCUCCCCUCCCCCGAAACCCUAGCUCUCUCGAUCGUGGCGGGUGGGGUGCAGCCAUGAAGCUUGCGGGGCUCAGAUCGGUGGAGAACGCCCACGACGAGUCGAUCUGGGCGGCGACGUGGGUCCCUGCCACCGACUCCCACCCCGCGCUUCUCCUCACGGGCCCACUUGACGAGAUCGUGAGGCUCUGGCGCCCGACGAGCUCGCUGCGGCGGUGCCACCCUCGCACGGCCGCGUCCUCGGCGUCGUCGCCGCCGCCGCCCACCCCUCCAGCUCCCUCGCCGCCGCCGCCUCCCUCGACAGCUCCGUCCGCGUCGAGGGAGGCGACGGAGCUUCGACGUCGACUCCAACGCCUCCGUCGCCUCCCUCGACGCCCUCCCUCCCUCCCCCCCGAGGUCUGGGGCUUGCAGUUCGACCCCAAGGUAACGCCACCUUUAGAUAUCUGUUUCUUUGGAUUGCAAAAAAGCACAAAUCCAAUAUUUAAUUAGUUUUUAUUAUUCUUUCGAUCUGGCAUGGCGGUGGCGGCGGCGAUGCCGGCGCCGGCACCGCCCGCGGAUUCUUUAGAUUACUGGCGGAAGUUCUUCCGCAGCGCGGCGAACGCCGGCAUCUUCCGGGUGAUCGAGAAGGCGAUCGCGGUCGCCGCCGCAGACUCUCCCGACGAGCUCCGCGCCUGGCGCGCCCGGAUCGCCGAGGCGCUCUACGUCUGCCUCGCGUGCACGUGUUCUACCCGCCGCCUACAUAAUCAUCAUAAUCAAGAAGAAGCCGAUCAAAAGGAAGAGGAGGAGGAGGAUGAUCGCCGUGUGGGGAGCAAUUUGAGCUACGAUGAGGCGGAGGCGCUCACGGAGAGAUCGAGGAGGAGAGCCACACGCUCGGAGAGGUUUUGAGAAUCAAGGUCGUUCUCAGCACCGGCCGGGAGCAGGUCUGGGGCN
RNAcentral lists this long non-coding RNA (1246 nucleotides) under Ananas comosus (pineapple). Its description in RNAcentral is "long non-coding RNA (ACOM_LNC039680)". Lineage: Eukaryota; Viridiplantae; Streptophyta; Magnoliopsida; Poales; Bromeliaceae. The record is from RNAcentral.